RNAcentral lists this small RNA (1199 nucleotides) under Pan troglodytes (chimpanzee). RNAcentral describes it as "retained intron". Lineage: Eukaryota; Metazoa; Chordata; Mammalia; Primates; Hominidae. The record is from RNAcentral.
GGGCGUGGUGGCUCACACCUGUAAUCCCAGCACUUUGGGAAGCCAAGGCAGGCAGAUCACCUGAGGUCAGGAGUUCAAGAGUAGCCUGGCCAACAUGGUGAAACCCCGUCUCUACUAAAAAUACAAAAAAUUAGCUGGACAUGGUGGUGGGCACCUGUAAUCUCAGCUACUCAGGAGGCUGAGGCAGGAGAAUUGCUUGAACCCAGGAGGCGGAGGUUGCAUUGAGCCAAGAUCACGCCACUGCACUCCAGCCUGAGUGACUGAGUGAAACUCUGUCUUAGAAAAAAAAAAAGUAGUCUAAUCCAACUUCUUAUUUUGCAGCUGAAAAAACUGAGGGUCAGCAAAUUUAAAUAAAAUCUGAAAUGAAAACUUAUGUUUCGUGACUCACAAUCCAAUGUGAUCUCUGCUAGGUAUUCUGAUUCUAUCUUUGCUUGACUGAUACAAGAUAAUGAUGAGAUGUAUAACAAUGUAUUAAUACUGAUACAUUGACAGACAAGCCAGGCUGAUUGUUGAAAUUUAAAUUUACAGUAAUAAAAUAUUAAUGCAGAGAUUUCCCUUUUCUUAAAGAUGAAUCCAAUAAAGAAACAGCUAACCUACAAGAAAGAAGUAUAAGCAAUGAUGAUGGUGAAGAAAAAAUAGUAACAAGUGUGCGUCGGAGAGGAAGAAAACCCAAACGUUCUCUCACUGUAUCAGAUGAUGCUGAAUCCUCAGAGCCAGAAAGAAAACGCCAGAAAUCAGUUUCUGAUCCAGUGGAGGACAAGAAAGAGCAGGAGUCUGAUGAGGAAGAGGAAGAAGAGGAAGAGGACGAGCCUUCAGGAGCCACCACAAGAUCCACCACCAGAUCAGAGGCUCAGAGGUCAAAGACACAGCUCUCCCCUUCUAUCAAGCGCAAGAGAGAAGUCAGCCCUCCUGGGGCCCGAACAAGAGGCCAGCAAAGGGUGGAGGAAGCCCCUGUGAAAAAAGCGAAGCGAUAAUCCUGACCACUGCUGCCCUAGGCUUAUGGAGGAACACGGUGGAGAGGAAAGAGACAUGCCUUGGUGGCCAUAGGCUUCUCUUUAACCAGGAAAAAGAUAUGCAUGUGCUGUAAGUCCCUAGGUGCAAGCUUUUUCUUGUUAUGUUUUAAACAGCUUUAUAAACUAUUGUUCAUAGAAGAUAUUAUGUACAUUUAUUUCAGAUAAAGGACAAUAAGUUUACUUUGU